RNAcentral lists this ribosomal RNA (634 nucleotides) under uncultured archaeon. RNAcentral describes it as "bacterial SSU rRNA". It matches the Rfam family "Archaeal small subunit ribosomal RNA", at positions 7 to 648 of the family's 1478-position model. The record is from RNAcentral.
GUUGAUCCUGCCGGACCUGACUGCUAUCUGAUUGGUACUAAGCCAUGCGAGUCAUUGUAGCAAUACAAGGCGGACGGCUCAGUAACACGUAGUCAACCUAACUCGUGGACGUGGAUAACCUCGGGAAACUGAGAAUAAACCGCGAUAGAUCAUUAUGCCUGGAAUGGCUUAUGGUCCAAAUAGUUUACUGCCAUGGGAUGGGACUGCGGCCUAUCAGCUUGUUGGUGAGGUAAUGGCCCACCAAGGCUAUAACAGGUACGGGCUCUGAGAGGAGAAGCCCGGAGAUGGGUACUGAGACACGGACCCAGGCCCUAUGGGGCGCAGCAGGCGAGAAACCUUAGCAAUGUGCGAAAGCACGACUGGGUCAGUCCGAGUGAUUCCUGAUAAAGGAGUCUUUUGCUUGUCCUAAAAGCACAGGUGAAUAAGGGGUGGGCAAGUCUGGUGUCAGCCGCCGCGGUAAUACCAGCACCUCGAGUGGUCAGGACGUUUAUUGGGCCUAAAGCAUCCGCAGCCGGCUCUGCAAGUCUUCGGUUAAAUCCACCUGCUCAACAGAUGGGCCGCUGGAGAUACUACAGAGCUAGGGAGUGGGAGAGGCAGACGGUAUUCAGUGGGUAGGGGUAAAAUCCUCUGAUCC